Molecule: ribosomal RNA, 429 nt
Filed under: Bacteroidota bacterium
Lineage: Bacteria; Pseudomonadati; Bacteroidota
Description: Bacteroidetes bacterium partial 16S ribosomal RNA
Rfam family: Bacterial small subunit ribosomal RNA
Source: RNAcentral
UAGGGAAUCUUCGGCAAUGGGGGGAACCCUGACCGAGCAACGCCGCGUGAGUGAAGAAGGUUUUCGGAUCGUAAAGCUCUGUUGUUAAGGAAGAACGAGUGUGAGAAUGGAAAGUUCAUGCUGUGACGGUACUUAACCAGAAAGGGACGGCUAACUACGUGCCAGCAGCCGCGGUAAUACGUAGGUCCCGAGCGUUGUCCGGAUUUAUUGGGCGUAAAGCGAGCGCAGGCGGUUAGAAAAGUCUGAAGUGAAAGGCAGUGGCUCAACCAUUGUAGGCUUUGGAAACGGGUUAACUGGAGUGCAGAAGGGGAGAGUGGAAUUCCAUGUGUAGCGGUGAAAUGCGUAGAUAGAUGGAGGAACAACGGUGGCGAAAGCGGCUCUCUGGUCUGUAACUGACGCUGAGGCUCGAAAGCGUGGGGAGCGAACAGG